This 253-nucleotide ribosomal RNA is filed under the name uncultured bacterium. RNAcentral's name for it is "partial 16S ribosomal RNA". It matches the Rfam family "Bacterial small subunit ribosomal RNA", at positions 524 to 776 of the family's 1533-position model. The record is from RNAcentral.
UACAGAGGGUGCAAGCGUUAAUCGGAAUUACUGGGCGUAAAGCGUGCGUAGACGGUUAUUUAAGUCAGGUGUGAAAGCCCCGGGCUCAACCUGGGAAUUGCAUUUGAGACUGAAUAGCUAGGGUGCGGAAGAGGAGAGUGGAAUUCCUGGUGUAGCGGUGAAAUGCGCAGAUAUCAGGAAGAACACCCGUGGCGAAGGCGGCUCUCUGGGACGGUACUGACGCUGAGACGCGAAAGCGUGGGGAGCAAACAGG